Micropterus dolomieu (smallmouth bass) is the source of this 2367-nucleotide RNA transcript. RefSeq lists it as uncharacterized. NCBI's taxonomy places the organism in Eukaryota, Metazoa, Chordata, Actinopteri, Centrarchiformes, Centrarchidae. The transcript has 5 exons. The record is from RefSeq and is a predicted model, not a curated record.
GCAGAGAGGCGGAGAGGCAGAGAGGCGGAGCCGCCAUCUCUCAAACUGGGUCAGUAGCACAAGCGACCGACUUAGCUUCAUGCUAACUGUUAGCUCGCCGGUAGGUUUUUCCUCCACUCGGGCAGCUCCUUCUCCUUCUGCUUCUCUCCUUCUCUAAUGUAACCGAGUGAUUUGAAUAUGUGAAAACGUCCGGCCUUCAAACAGUAACGUUAAUAUAAACAUAUAUAUAUAUAACGUUAAUUAGCGUCUUGACAUUAGCUAACUUAGCUCGCCGGUUAAGUUAACGUUGCGUCUUAGUGAAGAUAUUUAAGUAUUAGCUCACGAGCUUUUUAACCUUCACUGGUUUUAAACGACGUUUUGUACUGAAUCUUACCGUUAGACGACAUUUCGAUGAAACGGCCUUUAACCUAUAAAGCAAUUGAUCAACCAGCGCGUUGUUUACGGACUGAGAUGGAUGAAGGGACACCGGGGACCGGGGCAGCUGUCACAGCCCGGUUACUGCAGUUCCUCCUGCGGACACAAGGGGGCGGGCAGCAGCGUAGCUCCUCUUCUUCUCUUCCGGCAGGCUCGGCACUGUUUAGCGCAUUGCUGCCUCCCACCGGUUUAGUAUCAACAAUGCUACUUUUUACUUUCAUGCUUCCUGGGAAUGCCUAAAGAUUGUGCAAUUUUGGAGUGAUCUUAAAAUGAGAAUUGAUGGUUUUCUCGCUUGCAAGUCAACAUUAAACCCAGGCAUUUGUAUUUUAGGAUUAGGAUAUAGCCUAUAGAGUGACUGCUGGGUCUGCACACAUCUAACGUCACCUAAACUCCAUAAUACAAGUUUAUGUUCCCUCUUGGCCACACAAAGCAAUCCCAGUCCCAGCUGUUCUCAUCUUUGUCAACGAGCUACCACGUGCCAUCAGAGCAGGGGCUUCAAGAAGCUCCUGAAAACUCUUCAGAGAACACUUCCUCUCAUAACACCUCCAAACUCUAACAUGCACUUCCUGUGCCGCUCUUCUUCUUAUAGUUCUCUUGUAUUGAUUGCACUAUUCAUUAACUACUUCCCCUACUUCUUCUUCCCUUAAGUAUUUACCCGUUGAUGCUGUACGCGCUAAUAGCUCUUACAAGUAUUGUCACUUGUAGAUCUCCUGCUGUAUUGAUGCUCUGUUAAUGCUUGUAUGUUGUUCCUGAAAUGAGAUUUGCUUUAGAUAAAAGCGUGUGCCAAAUAAGUAAAUGUAGAUGACACAACAAAGCAGGCUGUCAGCAGGUACAAGGAUAUAUUGAGAAUCUGCUGGUACGCUGGAAGGUUAAGUCUUCUCCAGAUGUGGGUUGCUGAGGAGCCCCCGGAUGUGUCACUUUGCUUUGAAAAACUCCUGAAUGAAAUCCCUCUUGAAAGUUCAGGUAAGAAAAGAAACCCUCAGAAGCUUUGGCUGAGGUGUAGACGUGACCAGUCGGAUGGACAGUGACCAGAGGUUGGCCCACCGUGGUUGGCCGUGUCAAAGUAAAGCAAAGACCUCCAGGCCGAGGCAUCUGCAUCAGAGCACCCUAAACUUGGGCGACACAGCACCCUGCUACACCACCACCCACACCCAGAGUUAUUCUGGAAGGUCAGCUGACGGACGUCCUCUCGUCUUCCACCUGAGGGAUCCCAGCUUCCCCUCACAGCAUCAGACCAGGCUGGAUCUCAGUAACAGCACCACAGAGCUGCAGGGCCCCCUGCAGUCACACAGUAAAGAGGUGCACGGGCCCAAACACAUCACUCCGGUACGGUUACAGCGUCUGGAAAACAUCCCUCCAUGCAUCCCUUUAAUGUGUUGUUAUGGUUUUAGGCAGCUCUUGAGUUGUUUAAAAGUGUUUUAUUUAGGUUCUUUCUGUGGUGAAAUAUUUGAUAUGAUUAGCGUAUCUGAUUUAUUUUUUGUUUUUUGUCUCCAACUAACUGGGAGAUUACUGAAUCAUCUUCACAAGAGGGCUUGAUCUCUCUUACCAAGAUGUAACAGGAAUAGAGGACCGACCUGAAGGUGGAAAACUGGGCCCGGUAUCUUAGUGGCCUGGCCGUCAGAGAGAUCACCAAUCCACGGGAUCCAUCUGAGUACUGGACCACCUACAAAACAGAGCACACGCUCCCAGUAACCGACGGUCCGGCACAUCUGGCUGGCGGCAAACCAACACAGUGGCACCAACACAACAUACUGACGGUUGAGCAGAGGCCGACACCUGGUCCAGGGAAGCCCAGCAGACGGUCCAGAGACAAGCUGCUGUGGGCAGCGAGACGCCGGGAGACAGACUGCACUGCACUCAGACUCUACUGACAUAACAACAACUACACACAGCACUGACCAACAGGAAACUACUGACCAACACUCCUCCAUUAAAUGUAUUAAUAAUUCAUGA